CACUCCUGCGGGAGGCAGCAGUGGGGAAUUUUGGACAAUGGGCGAAAGCCUGAUCCAGCCAUGCCGCGUGCAGGAUGAAGGCCUUCGGGUUGUAAACUGCUUUUGUACGGAACGAAACGGCCUUUUCUAAUAAAGAGGGCUAAUGACGGUACCGUAAGAAUAAGCACCGGCUAACUGCGUGCCAGCAGCCGCGGUAAUACGUAGGGUGCAAGCGUUAAUCGGAAUUACUGGGCGUAAAGCGUGCGCAGGCGGUUAUGUAAGACAGUUGUGAAAUCCCCGGGCUCAACCUGGGAACUGCAUCUGUGACUGCAUAGCUAGAGUACGGUAGAGGGGGAUGGAAUUCCGCGUGUAGCAGUGAAAUGCGUAGAUAUGCGGAGGAACACCGAUGGCGAAGGCAAUCCCCUGGACCUGUACUGACGCUCAUGCACGAAAGCGUGGGGAGCAAACAGGAUUAGAUACCCUAGUAGUCCCAUGAU
Molecule: ribosomal RNA, 476 nt
Filed under: uncultured organism
Description: partial 16S ribosomal RNA
Rfam family: Bacterial small subunit ribosomal RNA
Source: RNAcentral